CGGGCGGCUCCGCGCUGUGCAGGUCCGGCGGAGCUCCGAGCCCAGGGAGGUCCGAGCCGGAGUGCUGGCGGCGGCACAGCCGCUGGAAGUAAUGGUGUGAGUGCUUCUUAAGUUCCACCUAACACCAAUAGAUCAAUCUGAAGUCACCGGGAAUAUCUACAAACAGGAAAAGAAGGUUGAGAGCAGAAAAGAAACAACCGUUUUAAAGUAUGGGAUGAGAGCAGCACCAGAACAUCUUCCCUGAAUGUUGGAGGAAAAAGUGCACUCAUCUGAGAAUGAAUUAAAACAAACUGACAAAUGCCCAUCUGAGCUUUUCCUGCAUGUGUUCAGUGUUAAUUUCUCCAGUCCAGCUGUGGAGCUACUGCAGCUCCUGGUAUGUGAAGGAAUUGAGAGUGCACAUUCCCAAACCGGCCCUGUUCUGAAGUCUGCUGUAAAUGCUCCCGGGUGCUGCUCCUGGGGAGCCCAUUACACCUUAGAGGCUG
This 482-nucleotide long non-coding RNA is filed under the name Gallus gallus (chicken). The record is from RNAcentral. Lineage: Eukaryota; Metazoa; Chordata; Aves; Galliformes; Phasianidae.